Molecule: ribosomal RNA, 363 nt
Filed under: Rhizobiaceae bacterium
Lineage: Bacteria; Pseudomonadati; Pseudomonadota; Alphaproteobacteria; Hyphomicrobiales; Rhizobiaceae
Description: bacterial SSU rRNA
Rfam family: Bacterial small subunit ribosomal RNA
Source: RNAcentral
GCAGGGGAGUGGCAGACGGGUGAGUAACGCGUGGGAAUCUACCCAUCUCUGCGGAAUAGCUCUGGGAAACUGGAAUUAAUACCGCAUACGCCCUACGGGGGAAAGAUUUAUCGGGGAUGGAUGAGCCCGCGUUGGAUUAGCUAGUUGGUGGGGUAAAGGCCUACCAAGGCGACGAUCCAUAGCUGGUCUGAGAGGAUGAUCAGCCAUAUUGGGACUGAGACACGACCCAAACUUAUACGGGAGGCAGCAGUGGGGAAUAUUGGACAAUGGGCGCAAGCCUGAUCCAGCCAUGCCGCGUGAGUGAUGAAGGCCUUAGGGCUGUCAAGCUCUUUCACCGGGGAAGAUGAUGAUGGAAACCGCAGA